GCCUGGCAGUGAUGAUACAGACUUUCAGCUUCAAUGCCAGUUCUGCUUCUGAUAAUUCAUGACUGAUAAAGCUGAUAUAGAUCUGAGCCAACU
This 93-nucleotide small nucleolar RNA is filed under the name Oryza brachyantha (malo sina). Lineage: Eukaryota; Viridiplantae; Streptophyta; Magnoliopsida; Poales; Poaceae. The record is from RNAcentral.